GCAAGUCGAACGGUAACAGCAGAGCUUGCUCUGGCUGACGAGUGGCGAACGGGUGAGUAACGCGUAGGAAUUUGCCUAGUAGUGGGGGACAACGUGUGGAAACGCACGCUAAUACCGCAUACGCCCUAAGGGGGAAAGCAGGGGAUCUUCGGACCUUGCGCUAUUAGAUAAGCCUGCGUGAGAUUAGCUUGUUGGUGAGGUAAUGGCUCACCAAGGCGACGAUCUCUAGCUGGUCUGAGAGGAUGAUC
This 248-nucleotide ribosomal RNA is filed under the name uncultured bacterium. Its description in RNAcentral is "partial 16S ribosomal RNA". It matches the Rfam family "Bacterial small subunit ribosomal RNA", at positions 57 to 305 of the family's 1533-position model. The record is from RNAcentral.